AUGGUCGUUUUCUUCUUGUUUUCAUUCAUUCAGUGGUGCAUCUGGUUUGAGCCAUGGAUCCGCUCGACUAUCUGUGCAUCAGGUUUCAGUUCAGAGGACAAUUUGAACAUGAUGGAACAGAUCAACAGAGUGGCAGCAUGUGAAUGGAAUACAAAGGCCUUUCAACACUCGAGCACCACAAGAUGGCCAAACAUGUCAAGGCCUCAACGGGAUCGCUCCGGGUGCCCACCCCCAAACGUAUCCGUGGUCGACCUCGCGGUGCAGGUCUCCAAGAAGACCCUCGACGAGGAGGUGAACCAGGCGUUCCACGACGGCGCGGCCAACGAGCUCAAUGCCUUCCUCGACGCCUGCCAUGAGCCGCUCGUGUCCAUUGAUUUCAGGUGCUCCGACGUGUCCUCCACCAUCGACGCGUCGCUCAGCAUGAUCAUGGGAGACGACAUGGUAAGGUCAUCGCAUGGUACGACGAGUGGGGUCGCUCAGCAUGGUCAUGGGAGACGACAUGGUAAGGUCAUCGCAUGGUACGACGAGUGGGGUUACUCCCAGAGGGUAGUCGACCUCGCCGACACCAUCGCCAACCAAUGGAAGUGA
Molecule: ribosomal RNA, 588 nt
Filed under: Triticum aestivum (bread wheat)
Lineage: Eukaryota; Viridiplantae; Streptophyta; Magnoliopsida; Poales; Poaceae
Description: partial small subunit ribosomal RNA
Source: RNAcentral